Molecule: non-coding RNA, 142 nt
Organism: Aspergillus luchuensis
Lineage: Eukaryota; Fungi; Ascomycota; Eurotiomycetes; Eurotiales; Aspergillaceae
Source: Rfam
GGCAAGGUGGUCGAGUGGUUUAAGACGUAAGACUUGAAUCUGGCUUUUGGGGAUGAUUACCUGAAAUACGGUGAUUGUUUCUUAUCCAAACAGACGAUAUCUUAUACCUUCGGGUGCGCGUGUUCGAAUCACGUCCUUGUCG